CCUACGGGAGGCAGCAGUGAGGAAUAUUGGUCAAUGGGCGAAAGCCUGAUGGAGCAACGCCGCGUGGGUGAAGAAGGUCUUCGGAUCGUACAACCCUGUUGUUAGAGAAGAAAGUGCGUGAGAGUAACUGUUCACGUUUCGACGGUAUCUAACCAGAAAGUCACGGCUAACUACGUGCCAGCAGCCGCGGUAAUACGUAGGUGGCAAGCGUUAUCCGGAUUUAUUGGGCGUAAAGGGAACGCAGGCGGUCUUUUAAGUCUGAUGUGAAAGCCUUCGGCUUAACCGGAGUAGUGCAUUGGAAACUGGGAGACUUUAGUGCAGAAGAGGAUAGUGGAACUCCAUGUGUAGCGGUGGAAUGCGUAGAUAUAUGGAAGAACACCAGUGGCGAAAGCGGCUCUCUGGUCUGUAACUGACGCUGAGGUUCGAAAGCGUGGGUAGCAAACAGGAUUAGAUACCCUUGUAGUC
RNAcentral lists this ribosomal RNA (465 nucleotides) under uncultured bacterium. Its description in RNAcentral is "partial 16S ribosomal RNA". It matches the Rfam family "Bacterial small subunit ribosomal RNA", at positions 338 to 795 of the family's 1533-position model. The record is from RNAcentral.